CGGCCGCGGGAAUUCGAUUAGAGUUUGAUCAUGGCUCAGAGCGAACGCUGGCGGCAGGCUUAACACAUGCAAGUCGAGCGGGCGUAGCAAUACGUCAGCGGCAGACGGGUGAGUAACGCGUGGGAACGUACCUUUUGGUUCGGAACAACACAGGGAAACUUGUGCUAAUACCGGAUAAGCCCUUACGGGGAAAGAUUUAUCGCCGAAAGAUCGGCCCGCGUCUGAUUAGCUAGUUGGUGUGGUAACGGCGCACCAAGGCGACGAUCAGUAGCUGGUCUGAGAGGAUGAUCAGCCACAUUGGGACUGAGACACGGCCCAAACUCCUACGGGAGGCAGCAGUGGGGAAUAUUGGACAAUGGGCGCAAGCCUGAUCCAGCCAUGCCGCGUGAGUGAUGAAGGCCCUAGGGUUGUAAAGCUCUUUUGUGCGGGAAGAUAAUGACGGUACCGCAAGAAUAAGCCCCGGCUAACUUCGUGCCAGCAGCCGCGGUAAUACGAAUCACUAGUGAAUUCGCGGCCGCCUGCAGGUCGACCAUAUGGGAGAGCUCCCAACGC
Molecule: ribosomal RNA, 552 nt
Filed under: uncultured bacterium
Lineage: Bacteria
Description: partial 16S ribosomal RNA
Rfam family: Bacterial small subunit ribosomal RNA
Source: RNAcentral